AUUGAACGCUGGCGGCAUGCCUAACACAUGCAAGUCGAACGGUAGCAGGUCCUUCGGGAUGCUGACGAGUGGCGGACUGGUGCGUAACGCGUGGGAAUCUGCCCAAUAGUGGGGGAUAACCCGGGGAAACCCGGGCUAAUACCGCAUACUCCCUACGGGGGAAAGCGGGGGACCGAAAGGCCUCGCGCUAUUGGAUGAGCCCGCGUCCGAUUAGCUUGUUGGUGGGGUAAAGGCCUACCAAGGCGACGAUCGGUAGCUGGUCUGAGAGGACGACCAGCCACACUGGGACUGAGACACGGCCCAGACUCCUACGGGAGGCAGCAGUGGGGAAUAUUGGACAAUGGGGGAAACCCUGAUCCAGCAAUGCCGCGUGUGUGAAGAAGGCCUGCGGGUUGUAAAGCACUUUCGGCAGGAAAGAAAAGCCAUGCGCUAAUACCGCAUGACCUUGACGUUACCUGCAAAAGAAGCACCGGCUAACUCCGUG
RNAcentral lists this ribosomal RNA (484 nucleotides) under uncultured bacterium. RNAcentral's name for it is "bacterial SSU rRNA". It matches the Rfam family "Bacterial small subunit ribosomal RNA", at positions 29 to 507 of the family's 1533-position model. The record is from RNAcentral.